Molecule: long non-coding RNA, 9480 nt
Filed under: Nicotiana benthamiana
Lineage: Eukaryota; Viridiplantae; Streptophyta; Magnoliopsida; Solanales; Solanaceae
Description: long non-coding RNA (NBEN_LNC016195)
Source: RNAcentral
CUAUCUCGAACAAAGCUCAAAUAUUUUAAGUAAUCUUCUAUGCGUUGCAAAGUGAAUCAGACGUGAAUACUCUAAACCCAAAGAAUCAAUAUGACUUCAUGUUUAACCUGCCGAUUUGAAUUUUAACUUAAGUUGACAAUGAUUCAUUUUAGAUCUUCAAACAAUGUUGCUUCUAAAUCCAAUUAGACAAGCUCACAUGCUCAUGAGUAGUGUUCAUGCACUCUUGAAUAAAGUCUACUUGGUCUAGUUAAUAUAGAUGGCACUUAUUUGAACAACAGUCCCAAGCAAUUAUUUCAGAGCACAAGCACAAACACAAACACAAUAAACAAAUGAACGAGUAUAAGCCUAUUAUCUCAUCAGUUCGAUGUUGUCCAGCAUAGCCUAGUUUUACUAUAGAAUUCGAAUAUUGGAUGCCAAAUGUGUGAAUCUACUUAUACAAUCCAAAGCCAAUUUAAUAAUAGAAAAACCAGCAGAGAAUUACACAAAAUUAGUGAACGAAACAUUAAGUACACAACUCUGGAAAAUAGCCAGAUCAGGAUUUAAGCUUCAACUCUUCACAUAUACUCAUGCUUCAUAUUUUCAGCUUAUAAUUGCCAAAGCAACAGUCGUGUACCUGGAAUAUAGAUCAAAAUAAGAUGCAGGAGGUCAGCAGUAGUUAGCAGACGAUCACGGGCAGCCAAGAAGCAAAAUCAGCAACCAGAAAUGUUUAAAACCCAAAAUAGAAUUUGCAAUUAACCCAGAACACACUUGAACAAACCCAAAUGACCUCGAAAACAAACCCAGGACCUUUUGCGACUUCAGCAAGCCUGAAUUUAACUUAAAUGGACCAAAUUUAAAUACAAAUUUACUCCAGAAAUUUUAAAACACACAACAGAUGACCCACAACUAAUUUGACCAGAUCAAAACCCAUGCACAAAGGACUCCAAAUGUCUUCGAACCUCAGAUGUUGAACAAAACGAAGAAUUCCAGUAGCUUUUGGUCCUAACUAAGCUAGAAAGUUGGAUUAAAUGCUAGAACUUGAGAGUGAACUAAACAAAACUAAUGAAACAGUAGCUUUUAUGGAUUUUUCUUUUGUUUUUUGUUGUUUUUGGUUUUUGAAGAACAAUAUCUAGCAUUGGAAUUUAAAAAUAAAAUUUGAAACUCAGAUUUGCAGCCAAGGUUUUUUUUUGGAGGGGGGNNNNNNNNNNNNNNNNNNNNNNNNNNNNNNNNNNNNNNNNNNNNNNNNNGGAGGGGGGGGGGGGAAUUUGGAGCUCAAAAAUUGAUUUUAAAGGUAAUGAAGGAGUGCCUCUUAUAGGCCAAUUUCAGGAGGAAGCUUCUAAAUCCCCCUCACUCUUUUUCCCCUAUUUUAUUUUCAGAUUUUAUCCCUUAAUCCCUAAUUUACUGACUUGUGUUCCAAGUUACACCCCUAAGCUACCAAAAAUCUGAUUUGAAACUUAUCUAGAAAGUUCAAGUAGCUUCCAAUUCAGUUACUUAUCAGAUUCCUCCAAUGAGUUACCUUUACUGCCCUUAGCUUAUUUGAAAUUUACUAGUCCAACAAAUUAACAUAUUAUCAAUGCCCAAAAUGCCCCUGAAGACCCCUGAAACUACUAGUUUAAUACAGCUAUAUCCAAACCAUUAUUUAACUAAGCCUAAGGAUUAUUUGAAACUAGACAUCAAACUAUGGGAUUACUAGAAAUCAAUUAAAUCGGCUUAACAUUAGAUAGCAACAAUCAUAAAGAAUUUGACAUUCAAACAGGGCUUAAAACAAGAUCGAUUACAGAUUCUACACAAAACCAGAACUACUAGCGCAGAAUUAAACUACAGAAUCAUUAUUGAACAUAUACGGAAAACCCAAAAAAAUCAAAACAGAAAUAAACAAAACAAAACUGAAUUAAUAUCUACAUUAAAUGCAUUUGUUCAACAAUUAAACCAAUUAACAACAAUCACUAAAGCAAGGACAAAUCACAGGAAGCAAUUAAGGAGAACAUAGGACAAAGGAAGCAAAACAAACGAAGAAUAAGGGGGAACUCACAACUAGGUUCAAACGGACAAGUGACACGGUCAGGAUGCUUGUGCGGAUGAAUGUGGGCCUGGCCUAGAAAACUCGGAUCCUAGAUGUGAAUUUGAAGGACUUCAGUUGGGAUUUUUGUGCGUUAAACAGGGGAAAAGGGCUUAGGGUGGCCUGGGGGUUAGGGAGUAUGCGUUUGGUAUAGUGUAGUGCGGUGCUAGGGUUUGGAAUUUUUGGGGUGUUUGAGUGAGAUUCGGGGGAUGUCGGUGGUGGAUAUGGAAAGAGGGAGGAGUGAAGGGUAUGUGGUGUGAUUUUUGGGGCAUUUAGUGGUUCUCCGCCGCCGUGGUCGAUUUCCGGCGGCGGCGCUAGGCGGAGCCGCAGAAGAGGAAGGGGUACGAGGAAGAGGACCUCUGUCCCUAGGGUUUCUAUUCUGAGACAGUUUUAUUUAAAUCUAAUAUUAAUCAAGGGCCGUCGGAAUGGCCAAGAUCACUUUGCCAUGUAGCUCAAAAUGACGUUGUACUGCCUCAAUACUAUGUCGUUUAGUUUGUUUGGAAGAUUGAAAUGUUUGGACUGGACAUGGGCCGGAAUUGGGCUGAAACUGGGCGGUUUCGGUGGGUUAUUGGGCUUGCGAUGCACGAGAUUGGCCCAAAGCCUGGUUACUUCUUGUUUUUCUUUAUUUCCCUUUUUAUGAUAAUUUCCUCUUCUUUUUAUUUCAUUUUGUAUUUAUUUUUUAUAUUAUUUUGAUUUAUUAAGAUACAACCAAUUAAAAUUAAACAUAAUUUAUUUCCAAAAUUAAGCUAAUUAAUUCUUAAAAAUUGAUUAAAUCCUAUUUAAAAGUAAAUUCAUGACAUAUUCACCGAUUAACAAUUUAAAUUUAAAAAUGGACUAUUUUUUGUUAUUUCCUUUAUACGUUGUUUUAAAAAUAACUUAACAGCUAAUUAAUUCUAAAAUAUGAAAUUAAAUCCUAAAUGCAAAAAUGUGAGUUAAAUACGUUGUUUUAUAUUUUUUAUAUAAGUUAAACUGCACAAAUAAUAUGCAAACAAUUAACAUAAUAUAACACUAAAUUAACAAAAUUUGUAAAAUAAUGAAAAGGAUUAUUUAAUUCAAAUUUUUAGGAGUAAUUCACAUAUAGGACAAAAAUUACGUGCUCAUAGCAUGGAAAUUAAACGAGAAAUAAAUAAAAAAUAAAAGAAAAGAAAAAGGGAAUUGGAAAUACCCGAAUACCAGGCGGACUAAAUAUUAGAUUCACUCCUUGUUCCUUCAAUAUGGAUUGAACGGACCUUGAAAACAUACGAUUAAGGUCCAAUUCGGUUCAAAGAUCUUCACAUGUGUAUUGAACAUUGAAAUAAAGAAUUAGGGCUAAGUUUCUGUGAUUCAACAUUCAAGAUACUGGAGGAGGUUUUGAUGAAACGAUUUGGAUAUUCAGAUUGAGGGAGACAUGGUGGUUUAAGGGUGUAAAUUUCAGGCCGUUUGGAGGUGGCGCCGCCAUCGGAGCAUUUAGGGUGGCGCUAGGGUUUCGAUGUUUCGAGAGGCUGGGCUUAGAUUCGACGAAAGGUGAGGGUGGGACUGGAAUAAGGAGGUCGAGGGGAGACUGCGGUGUAAUUUUGAGGUGAUUUGAGCCACCGGAACCGCCGUGAGGCGAUUUCUGGUGGCAGAGGGGGCGGUGUUACAGAGAGAUGUCUCUAGGUCAGAAUCCCGAAAUACCUCAACGUAGAGCUGAAACUUAACACUUAGUACAUUUAACGAUGAGACAACAGUAAAUCAAUGACAGAUAUAUAGAUAGAUAGAUAUCAAUGCAUGAAUGCAAUGCAAUUCACAUGACUGCUACGACGUACAACCCGAUCCAUUUAGCUACUCGAACUCACUGUUGGGGUUCAGACUCCGGAAGGGCUCCUUCAGCGCAAAUGCAAUGACAUAGUACCAUUCGCUGCGGCGUGCAGCCCGGUCCACAAUCAGUCCAAUUAUAUAUGCAUGCAAACCACAUGGGCACAAUCAAGUUUACCAUUUUUGGUUCCAUUUAACAGGUACUAUAGUUUAGGAGAUUAAAACCUUAGAAGAUUACUAAUCAUUUCUAGACAUUAUUUAACUCAGGACUGAUAUCUUAGAAACAUGUUCAAUUUCAUGGCAACAGAAAUAAUAAUCCCUAAGAAUUCCAAAUAGUUGGCAUACAGCCCAAAUAUGCUCAUAACAAUCCAAGUAGAGGGAUCCAACGGCCUUGAUUAAAAUACGAGGUCGUUUGGUUAUUGGGUGGACGUGCCGAGUCUAAUUAAAUGGGUAAUGGAUUGAUGAUCUUGACCGUUGGAUGUGUGAGAUCAACGGCCUCGAUCAAAGCUCUGGAAACGGCGUCGUUGGGAUGGGUGUUGGAGAUGGACUGAAUUGGGGCGGGUUUUGGGCCUGUUUUUGGUGGGUAAGGGUAUUGGUUUGGUUUGGGCCUGAGAUUUUUCAGCUAAAUCCGAUUUUCUUCUCUUUCUUCAUUUUUUUCUUUUUCUUCUUUUUAUUUUUAUUUCCUAAUUUUAAAACUAAUAAUCCUAGAUUAAAUUAGAAAAUCAAAAUUAACUUAAUAUACUAAUUAACUCUUACAAAUGAUUAUCACACAAAAUUAAAUAAAAAGAAAAUCACACAACUUGAUUUUAAACAAUAAAAUGCGAAGUACAUUAUUUUGUGAUUUUUUUCAUUUUGUAAAUAAAACUUAAUUACUCCUAAUUGUAGAAUUAAAUCCUAAAUGAACAUAUAACUUUCUUUUUGUUAGUUAAAAUAAAUAAACAUGCACAGACAAAUGCAAACAACAAAAGAAAAUACCACAAAAUCCUCAAAAAUCAAACAAUGGAAAACAAUUAUUUUAUAUUAAUUUUUGUGGAAGUAAUUCUCGUAGGGAAAAAAUCAUGUGCUCAAACUAUUUUGAUGUGAUUUAAGAAAAUCAAAUUGUUAAUAGUAUUAAAAAUAUUCCAAAUGUAUCAUGCUUUUGGUUCCUAGACUACCCGUACUUAAACAUAAUAGUAGCUACGCACGGACUCUCGUCACCUUGUGCGUACGUUGCCCCCACAAAUAGAAGUACAUAAUCAAUUAUUUCACCUAUGGGGACAAUUCCCUCUUACAAGGUCAGAAAGGAGACUCACCUCACUCCGAAAAUUCGUAAUAAGCAUUUCACGCUGUUCCGAAGACCCGAAUCGAGGCUAAAUGCUCCAAAACUAGCCAUUAAUUAUGAAAAUCCAAUAAUAUAGGUUCAAUUACUCAUUAUAAUCCAAUUUAUAACAAUUCCUAACCCCGAUCAAAAAGUUGACAAAAAUACCCUCGAGCCCACGUGCCCGGAUUCCUAAAUUUUUUUAGGAUAAAAUUUACCCAUGAACUCAUUAACUCAAUUAUAUGAUUUUCUCUUAAUUUCAUACCCAAAAUCGUGGUCAAAAUUCAAGAAUAUCAAUUUUCUAGAUUUUCACUCAAACCCCAAGUUUCUACCAAUUUUCAUGCUCAAAUCCAAAACAAAACCAUGUAUUUAACGUGUAAUGAAUGGGAACAACUUACCUUGACAUAGAUGAAGAAAAUCUCUCUUCUGAAAGCUCCAAAAUUGUCCAGCCCGAAGUGAAAAAUGGGUGGAAAUGAACCAAAACUCAAGUUUUAAAGAGAUCUCACCACCUCCAGUCCCUUCACACCUACGGUCCCGCAGGUGCAGACCAACCGCCACUUCUGCAAUCCGGGGCUCCCAGCCCAUUUCCGCUUCUGUGCUCCUUCUUCCGCAGGCGUGGUCCCGCUUCUGCGUCGACCUUACCCCAUCUGCGGUCCCAGCCCCUUCACCAACACAUCUGUGCCCCUUUUGGCCGCUUCUGCGGCUCCGCACCUGCGAGACUUGGGUCGCAGAUGCGGUUACACUAGUAACCAAUGACAUUAGCUAUUCCACCAAGUUCUAAUUUUAUCCGUUAACCAUCCGGAAUCUACCCAAGGCCCCGAGACCCCAACUAAUCAUACCAACAAGUCCCAAUAUACAUGACGGACUUGCUCGAGGCGUUAAAUCACAUCAAACAACGCUAAAAUCAUGAAUCGACUUCCAAUCCAAGCUUAAUAAACUUUAGAAUUUUAAACUUCAACAUUCGAUGCUGAGACCUUUCAAAUCACAUCUUAUUGGACCCAAAUUUUGCACACAAGUCGUAUUUGGCCUUACGGGCCUACUCCAACUUCCGUAAUCAGAUUCCGACCUCAAUAUCAAAUAGUCAACUUCCGGUCAAGCUUCUCAAAAACCUUCCAACUUCUAUCUUUAGCCAAAUGGCUCCAAAAUAACUCACGUACCUCCAAAUUCUUUUUUGAUCACGUUCCCAACACCAGAAUUACCAUAUUGAACUAUUACUAGGCUCGGAAUCCUAAAUGGACAUUGAUAACACUUAAAUGCACUUCAGCCUAAACUUAUGAAAUUCUUUCAAUAAUACUAACUUCCACAAUAGGUGCCGAAACAUUCCCUGGUCUUCCAAACCCUGAUCCAAACAUACGCCCAAGUCUGGUAUCCUCAUACGAGCAUGUUGGAACCUUCGAAUCCCGACUCCGAGGUUGUUUAAUCAAAAAUCCCUUCUUAGCUAAUUCCUUCAACUUAAAGCUUUCAAAAUGAGAAUUCUCUUUCCAAAUCAACUCUGAAUUCCCCGGAAUUCAAUUCCGACCAUGCGUACAAGUCAUAAUACCUGAAAUGAAGUUGUUGAAGGUCUCAAACUACUGAACGAUGUGCUAGAGCUCAAAACGAACCGGUCGGGUCGUUAAACUAUAAUCAUUAAUCCAAUGAUAUAGUCAAUUAGAGGGUGAAGAUAUUACCUUCUUGACGUUCAAUCCUCUUGAAUUCGAGUUAUAGCAUUUCUUUUUCAAUAAUGAUGUCUCGAAUUAAUAUCUAAUGACUAUAAGGGUUUACCUAUGUUAACAAGGUGUUGGAGAAUUUAAAUUAACUUAGAAUCAUCAUUAGAACUUACCUUAGAUGAUGAAGGGACCUUGGGGGAGGUUAGGUUCCUGAGAGCUUCCCUUUCUAGAGCAAGUUUUUGUUUUUGGGGGUGGUGGACGAAGUAGAGCUUAUAAAACGGCUUCCCAUGUGCACCCUCACACAGCUGAAGACCCAACCAUGCACCUAAAUAUCCAGCAGGUCAGUAGCACUGCCAUAAGUGCGUGGUAGUGCACGGGACCAUCCGGGCACGCACCGGUACGCAUACUGCGUAUUGUUCAGUAAAAUGCACGUAGAGAUCCGUUCGGGCUUCACAAUAUAUCAUUUAAAAGGUAUUUCAAAGGGUUCAUGUUUUGUAUUUUUCCAAAUUCCUUAUAGAUAUUCACGAAAUCCUGUUGGAAGACAGAUCUUUCGUAAAGUUGGUCGAAUUUAUUAAAUCUUAUGCACCUCACUCUCCGCCUUAUUCUAAAACAACUAUUUCCACCCACAUUCAUCCAAACAUAACUUUACAUGUCUAAAAUAUUACAUUAAUACUCAUUUAAUAUAUUCACACCUAAUUCGAAUUUACGGAGGGUGACAAAAGAAAACAUAUAUAUGGUGGUUGGACAAGUACUAGAGCCCAUGUUAAAUAAUAAUGUCUUGAGAAAAACGCGGUGAUGAGGACAAAUAUUUAUUAAAGUAGCUAGUACAUUAUAAUUGCUACUACUCAAAACGGGGUGAUGAGGACAAACAUUUUUCAAAGGAGCUAGUACAUUGUAAUUAUUAAUACUCAAAAUGUAGUGUUGGCAAAUAUUUUUCAAAGGAGCUACCACAUUAUAAUUACUACUACUACUCAAAAUGUGGUGAUGAGGGCAAAUAUUUUUCAAAGGAGUUAGGUUUGGUAGUCAGUUAUUUUCUUAUGUUGGUAGUAUAUGGCCCUUUACUUUUGUCUGUCUUCAUCGUAAGCUGACAUAGACCCCAUAAUGGUUUCGGGACUAAUAAAUAUAGCAACAAAGGCUUCCUAGCGUCAUAAUGGUUUCAGGACUAAUAAAUAUAGCAACAAAGGCUUCCUAGCGUUGUAGUACAUUAUAAUUACUACUACAUCUACUACUAUAUUAUUUAUAGCAAUCUGGAGAGUUAAAAUCUCACUUUGAGAAUUUCAAGAAAAAUACCAAUUAAGAAACCAAAAUGGAAGAUUCAAAAGUUAACAAGAAUGACAACAAUGGAGAAGAAGAAGGACGAUGGAGUCUCAAAGGCAAAACAGCCCUCGUUACUGGUGGCUCUAAAGGCAUAGGGUGAGUUUGAAAUUUUCCCCUUGGGUCUUCCAUUUAAUUAUAGAGUUACGUACGUAGUAACAGUUUCCAUGCAGAUUCACCUUUUCAGCAGGGCGUGUUACAAAUUUAUUAGUAGUAUUUAGUGGCAGCCGAAUCAGGAUUUUUACUAAGAAAAUUCAAAAAUAUAAGAAAGUAAAUACAUGAAGAAUCUAAUGGAAUUUAUUAACAUCUACUAUAUUUUAAUAUAUGUGAUAAUGUUAUAUAUACUGUGUAAUUUUUCUGAGCUCUCCUCUUACUAAUACCUAUGACAAAUUUAUAUAUGUGGAAUUCCGAGUAAGUAAUAUGAUCGAUUGGAAUGAGUAUGCUAUGAUAUUAUUAAUUACACAUACAUCUUAAGAUUUUCUUUUUAUGUAUUAACUGUUGGAGUCGAAAGAAAUGAUGAGGUUAGUUGAACGUGCAAAACCUGCUCUCAUUCAUGUUAUAUAUGAUUUUAUCUUUAUAGUUGAAAACCUCUAAGAAAUACAAAUGACACUGUUAGUUUUAGGGCUUUGCGUGAAUUGGAUCGGAGGAUUGGAUUUAGGAGAUUUUAGAUUCAGAUUUCAGAUUUCGAAUUCUAAAAAAUACAAUCCGAAUCUGAUUCGAAUUAAUAUCGGAUCAGAACAGAUUUUAAUUUUUGGAUCGGAUUGAAUUUUAAAGUUUGGAUCGGAUCGAAUUAUUACGCCUUAAAGUUACAAACUCAUAUGUAUAUUUUCUUUGAAAAAGAGGCAAUACAGUAAGAAAAAAUUCAUAUUCUGCAAUUAUGAGAGUAUUAUGGUGCCAAUAUAGCUAAAUCCAGCAAUUGUAAAGGUUAUAACUUGGAGGAAGAUGUAAAAGAAAUACCAACUAUCUCAUAUUUGAGUUUAGUAUUUAUACAUGCCCUAAUAAUUUCAUAUUUCUGAUUGUAUCAGAUUCAAAUUAUACCAAUCCUAACCCUAUCCGAAAUCCGAAAUUUUGAAUAAACACAAUCUGAAAUUCGAUCUAAUCAGAAAUUCGAAAUUCGAAAUUGAACGAAUCGGUUCAGAUUUCGGAUAUCUGACCCAAAUGAACAGCCCUAAUUAGUUUUGCACUCAUUGAUAAAUCAGUAAGUGUAGUUCUACUCCACUCUAACUCAUAAAAUGGAGGAUCUUCUUGAAAUAAGACUUCUGUCAUAUUAAAUACAACAUUACAGACGUUAUUGAUAGAAUAUAUGAGUCCACCAAACUAUAGGGAGACCGGGUCCUCUAUGAGUUUUCAUAGAGAAUGCUAAUGAAACAGUAAGUAAAUAAGACAUGGAGGUUUUACGUGAAAUAAAUUCC